Long non-coding RNA from Oncorhynchus tshawytscha (Chinook salmon), 1311 nucleotides. The record is from Ensembl. Lineage: Eukaryota; Metazoa; Chordata; Actinopteri; Salmoniformes; Salmonidae.
UGAUAGCAGGGUAAGACCUAGCUGGCAUAGGGAGCGGGUUCAACCAUUGUGGUUCUGGCGGAGCUGAAAACAGCAUCGGUCCGGUCCGGGACCCAACGGUCUGCUGCUGCCCAGCCGACAUAGCCGACCAAUAGGAGGCCAGAAAGCCUGGAGGAGAUUUUUCUUUAAUGGAUGAGGGAAGGGACCGUUCUCUCCAGAGGAGUUGCUUGGAUGGACAAGACAGAGACAUAAAGGUGAUUGGAGGGAUUAGAGAAAGAGAUCUUCUGAUUAGAGAAAGAGAUUCUGACCUCCCGCCUUCAGUAACAAGGAUUCAUCCUGUUGUUGUAUUCUGAACUAGCAGGGAAUCUCUGUUACUGGGGGUGAGGGUACAGAGAGCUCACACAAACACAUUCCGUCACACACACGAAGACGCACACCCAGACACACGUUUGUUAUUUUACUGCUUACACUUCUCCUGUACUGUGCUAUGUAUGUACUGUAUCUAAUUUGAUUAAAGAUGUGAGAAGAUGUUCUUGACUUCUGGGGUCUGUAUUACUAACUAGACUAUGACUGUGUGAGGAAUUGCUUGACUCAGUGUAUAGGUUUUUCAGGGAGUCAGUAUUGACUCAGUGUAGAGGUUUUGAAGGGAGACAGUACUGACUCAGUGUAUAGGUUUUUCAGGGAGUCAGUAUUGACUCAGUGCAGAGGUUUUGAAGGGAGACCGUAUUGACUCAGUGUAGAGGUUUUGAAGGGAGACAGUACUGACUCAGUGUUAAGGUUUUGAAGGGAGACAGUACUGACUCUGUGUAGAGGUUUUUCGGGGAGUCAGUAUUGACUCAGUGUGGAGGUUUUUCAGGGAGUCCGUAUUGACUUAGUGUAGAGGUUUCAGUGUAGAGGUUUUGCGGGGAGACAGUAUUGACUCAGUGUAGAGGUUUUUCAGGGAGACGGUAUUGACUCAGUGUAGAGGUUUUUCAGGGAGUCAGUAUUGACUCAGUGUAGAGGUUUUUCAGGGAGACGGUAUUGACUCUGUGUAGAGGCUUUUCGGGGAGUUAGUAUUGACUCAGUGUAGAGGUUUUUCGGGGAGUCAGUAUUGACUCAGUGUAGAGGUUUUUCAGGGAGACGGUAUUGACUCUGUGUAGAGGCUUUUCAGGGAGUCAGUAUUGACUCGGUGUAGAGGUUUUUCGGGGAGUCAGUAUUGACUCAGUGUAGAGGUUUUUCAGGGAGUCAGUAUUGACUCAGUGUAGAGGUUUUUCAGGGAGACAGUAUUGACUCAGUGAAGAUGUUUUGCAGGGACAGUAUUGCAAUUUUCCUGUAUGUGUUUUUACAUUUCCC